Molecule: long non-coding RNA, 2641 nt
Filed under: Mus musculus (house mouse)
Lineage: Eukaryota; Metazoa; Chordata; Mammalia; Rodentia; Muridae
Description: long non-coding RNA chr9:68660108-68662749
Source: RNAcentral
CUAAUAUGACAAUCAUCUGCCCCUCUGCCCCCUCACUAUGACUUCCAUGAGAUGAUAUAGGGGCCUCUAAAGCAGGUGUCUUCCACUCCCUCAUGGAGAUCCCUGAUCCACCCAUCAGGAUGAGUUAUCACUUCUCUUAGAGUAAGGAGACUUUGAACUUGAAAGGGCUUCAGCUACCAGAGCAUACACUAAUCUAGAAUGUAGAAAACAUUUCCAAGUGCAAAAAUCUCCCUUGCUCAGGGUUUAGGCAAAGUGGUCCGUCCCUCUUUCUUCCUCCUCCCCUCCCCACUUCUCUUUCUUAUAUUUAUUUUUGUGCCUAAUUUGUCAUGGGAAAUGUUGUUUAGAACAAAGCUGUUAAAACUUUUCAACCAUGUUUUAGGCUGUAUAUUAAUAGAAUUGUGUAAUUUUUAGGUUGAUGCUUAAAAAUAACCCAGAUGAUUAGUGUUCAAGUCUUGGCUGCUAUAUGAUAAACCACAGUUUUACGUUUUACUCUGAGGGCACCGAGGCAUCGCUAAUGAAUUGAUUUUUUUCUGUCUGAUAUUAGAUUAACACCAUUUAUUGAUUAUUAUUAUUAUUAUUAUUAUUAUGUCUUUCCUUUUUGUCUAUUUCUUUUCUUUUUUGCUGUGUGGUUUCCUUUCCUAGCCUAGAGAGAGAGAGCACCAGAAAGUUAAUUGAAUCUUUCCUCGGAGUUUCAGUGUCUCACAGUGCUGUGGGGUCACGGUUCUGAGCAUGAAUUCUGAUUGUACAUUAUAGAACUGAGAAUGGAGCUGGCGUUGCAGACCGGCUGAGGUCUGUCCUGAUCCCACCUGGAAAUGGUUUCUUUUUUCUUUCUGUGAAAUCUUUAGCAGGACUAUUUGCUUCCUUGUUUUCUAUGUUGCAAGAAGCAAGUCAGAAAUUCAAUUAGUUGUUCUGGGUUACUGGAGGGUUUUACUUAAUAGGAAAUUGUCAACCAGAUUCUAAAAGCUUUCUUUUUGUUUAUCUAGUUUUUUUUUGUUGUUGUUGGUGGUGGUUUUUUGUUUUUUUUUGUUUUUUUGUUUUUUUGUUUUUUUUUUUUGCUUAUUUGAGACAGGGUCUCACUAUGUAGCAGAGGUCUCAGGGUGAUCCUCCUGUCUCAGCCCCAGGAGUGCUCAGAUUACCAUUGUCUGCUAGAUUCUUUUUAUUUCUUUCUCUAGAGUACUGGUUCUUAACUUCCUAAUGCUGUCACCCUUUAAUACAAUUCUUCAUGUUGUGGUGACCCUCAUUAUUUUCUUGCUACUUUAUAACUACAAUUUUACUACUGUUAUGAAUUGUAAUGCGAAUAUUUGAUAUGCCACCCCCAAAGGGGUCACAACCCACAGGUUGAAAACUGCUGCCCUACAGUUAUAGAAGAUGCUAAAUCCUCUUUAAGUAUUCAGGGAGGCAAUUCUGUUUACAAGUCCUAUAAUGUGGUUUCAUCUCCUCUAAUUCAGUGGAAACCAUCAUUAGCUUGACCAUUCCCUUGGGGAGGUUGGGAGCAUCUCUGUGGUAGGGAGCUUGCAUACCUAGAAGGUUAGGAAGCUUAAGGGUUCAGGCAUGUAGGAAAGAGUAUUUAGAGGCCUGCGGAGAAAGUCCUUUCCAAGCUAUGGCCUUUGAGAAGCAUUUCUGGACCACAGUGCUGGCUUUCUCAGCAUCAGCAUCAGCAUCAGCAUCAGCAUCAGCAUCAGCAUCAGCAUCAUCACAGAGUUGGCUCCCUCAGCAUCAACACCAUCACAGAACUGGCUUCCUUGGUAGCAUCACACGGUCACACUUGACUUAAUGUGAAUCAUUGAUUAGCUUCUGCUGCCUCUGACAUCACUGUGUUUGGAUUCUUGGUGUUAUGGUAGCCAAUUAUUAUUGUUGUUGUUAAUUUAUUGACUGUUUUUGCUAAAAGCAUCAAGAGGAUUUAAAAAAAACAUUAUAAGAGAGGAAGAGGUUAUAAUAAAAAUGAAGGUACCACAGUUCCCUGGAUUGGAAGACUGGCUUUCAGCCUCAGGUCUUCUAGGCGAUUGGGGAAAGGAAUUACAGGGAACAAUCCCCUGUUGAGGGACAAAUGAUUUUCCCCUCCAACAGAUUUUUAUGGCUUUCAUGACAUGACAUUAUUAGAAAUUGUGUCAUCAAGUUACACGAAACGGAACACUAAUGAUAACAUUGUAGUUUCCCAGUGAUGGGUUUAUCUACAAAACCUGGAUCCCAGUGGCUGGACUCAUGGAUGCUGACAGUCCAGGUUUCCCAUACCUGCAAAGGUGUAGGAGGACCUCGGGAUAUCUUAGGGUGAAUUUCUAUUCACUCUCCCCUGACUCUUUCACCAGAGGCUGGAGUGAGACAGAAGUGUUAUGGUUCAAACGCUACAUUACCUCUCAGGUAGAAAUAUCUUAGCUGUGUGAUUGGGUGUUGGCACUUGCAAUACAAAUUGUCUCAAACUGUUCUGAAGUAAGAAAGUUUCUACGUGCAGCCACCGGUCACAGUAGAUGAAGUCCACUGAGACACAAGGGAAGGGUACCACUUAGUGUAGAAUCCUCAAGCCGGCGAAAGAGGUAUGCACCGUUAAAAAUAUCUAGCUUACUUCGGGGGAGGACCGAAUACUGAUGGAGUUUAUGAAAUAUGAAUACAGUGAGUUGCUGUACGUAAGUGGUAGGCGUGUGUG